CCUACGGGAGGCAGCAGUGGGGAAUAUUGCACAAUGGGGGAAACCCUGAUGCAGCGACGCCGCGUGAGUGAAGAAGUAUUUCGGUACGUAAAGCUCUAUCAGCAGGGAAGAAAAUGACGGUACCUGACUUAGAAGCCCCGGCUAACUACGUGCCAGCAGCCGCGGUAAGACGUAGGGGGCAAGCGUUAUUCGGAUUCACUGGGUGUAAAGGGAGCGUAGACGGCCAGGGAAGCCUGGAGUGAAAGCCCGGGGCCCAACCCCGGGACUGCUCUGGGAACUGUCCGGCUGGAGUGCGGGAGGGGCAGGCGGAAUUCCUGGUGUAGCGGUGAAAUGCGUAGAUAUCAGGAGGAACACCGGCGGCGAAGGCGGCCUGCUGGACCGCGACUGACGUUGAGGCUCGAAAGCGUGGGGAGCGAACAGGAUUAGAUACCCGGGUAGUC
This 440-nucleotide ribosomal RNA is filed under the name uncultured bacterium. RNAcentral describes it as "partial 16S ribosomal RNA". It matches the Rfam family "Bacterial small subunit ribosomal RNA", at positions 338 to 795 of the family's 1533-position model. The record is from RNAcentral.